Molecule: non-coding RNA, 5920 nt
Organism: Podarcis lilfordi (Lilford's wall lizard)
Lineage: Eukaryota; Metazoa; Chordata; Lepidosauria; Squamata; Lacertidae
Source: the annotation of a GenBank genome assembly
CCCUUACCUGGGCCUUGUUAGUUUGAUUUACCCCUCCCUUGCUUGAAUUCCUCAAAUCCCAGCAGCCUUUUACAACAGCCUGACACAGAUAACAUGGCUGCAGUUAUUUUAUUCCUUUGAUAAAGGUAAAGAGCAGCGAAUCUGUAUCUUUAAUAACAAGGAAAGAGAGAAAUGGCUUCUGCCUUAUUCCUACCACUUCUCCUUGCUUUGAGCCAAACAGUCUCUUCUAUCCUUCCUCCAUGGUUUCUGCAGUUGGUGUGUACUGAGUUGUGUCUGGCCAAAGGCAUUGUGUGUGUGUGUGUGUGUGUGUGGUUUUCUGAAAUAUUUAGGGAUUUUUUUAAUUAAAAAAAGUGUGGUCAUUUGCAGUACCUAAAUAAGAGAGAGCCCAAUGGACAGUAGAGAAAUAAAUGAAUGCCUACUAAUACCAGGCCCCAUCUUUCAAAAUUUGAGGAAAAAGAGAUAUGAAAUUGCCCUUUUAGCUAGGAAUUAAUUUAGUGGGGGAUGUGUAACCUUACAAUAGCUUUAAUCUGGGUAUAUCUCAGAGAGAUUUUUAAAGCUUACUUUGUCUACUAGGCCUGCAGUCUGAGCCAAUCUGUGUUUAGAGUACUUGGAAUGAGUAAUGAGAGCAAUGAGACUUGCUCCCAAGUGUGCACUGGAUUGCAACUUUACUGCGCAAUUUGGGCCCUGAGUCUUCCUCCCACCCCACCUAACCAUCCCAAUUCACACUGUUAUUUCCUAAGGAUUUCUCACAAGAUCCAGACAUUCCCUCAUAAAGUGAAACAACUGAGACUGUUGGUAAGCUUCAAAUCUGUCACUCAGCCAGGAAGCUUGCUGAGUUGAUCCUGAGUCACUCACCACAUCUUAGCCUAACCUACUUCACCAGGUUGUUGUGAGGGCAAUAUUAUGUGGUGGGAGCCAACUACCACCCUAAGCUCACUAAGUCUGUUAAAUAAUGUAAUAAACAAUAACUGGGUUUCUCCAAAGCUUCCUUACUAUAGGAAUAAACAUAUAGGCCUCCCUUACAAGCCUGUUGUAAGGAUUAUUGCGACACUUUGAGCACUUAAGAGGAAAGCCCUGUAUAAAAUCUGUCUGAUUAUAUAUUUUUAUUUUAGUCAGGGAAAGAUUUGUUGUUUAUUCCUAAAACAUUAUUUUAUUUAUAAUAUGCUUUUAAAUUAUUAUCUCGUUUACUUCAUUGCUUAGAACUUCUUAUAAAUUUAAUGCAGGACGGGCAGAAGUCCAAUAAAGAUAGAUGAGUAUUGCAGUUCCCCUUCUAUCUUCCUCCUCAUUUGUUUUACUUAGAUAGCAAAGACUGAAGCUCUGUCCCUCCUACUGACAGAAAAACUGAGAGAUAAAAGGGGAUUUAAAUGCCUAGCAAGUCAAUUGAUUUGGGUGUUCCCAGCCACUAUCCAGCUGCUGGGAAUAUAAAUAGAGCUAAAGGACUAGAAAAUGAUAAAUUGCUACAUUUCAUUUGCUAUAUUUUUCUGGUAAGAAUUUUUUUUAGGGCUGUUUUCCAAUUUCUGAGCCAAAUCUCUCCUUUGGGUGCUCUAAAAGUGAGCUAAGCUUUGCUACUUAGGAGAGGAGCCCCUCCCCGCAUCUGCAUCUGAAGGCUCCCAUAAUUUGGCUCAGUCAUGGGCUCUCCAUUGGGUGGGGGUAAGUGUGUAGGCACAAAGAAAGGUCCCAAGAACCAAGAUUACACUUUAAGGGCUUAUUGGGGGUGCAUGUGUGUGUGUGUGUGUGUGUGUGUGUGUGUAGAGAGAGAGAUUCUGAAAAGAACACUCGGUUUUCACAUGGAUUGUUUAGAAUUUCUGAUGAAACUGCAGAAAUGUCAAUGCAGAGUAGGAACAGCCAAUCAGAAAGCAGCUCUUUGACCUUUGCCCUUCUCUUCCUCAGCAGGACUGCUAUUAUCUUCAAGGGGGGAGAGCCCUCCUUGCCUCUUGUUAUACCUUUUUUAUGAUCUAGGAUUGUGAAGAUAAUAAUGACUCCAUGUUACAUAAAACAGAUACAUUAAUGUCACCAAGUCCCAAAAGUAUGGAAUCAACCCAACUCCUUCAGAAAGACUGGGGGGAGGGGAGUGAUAGAAAUUCAGAGAGCAGAGCCUUAAUAAGGCCGAAAGAAGAGAGGUGCUGCCUUAGACCGCUUUUUCCUUCCUAUUUGAAAUGGGAUAUUUAAAGGGCCCUUUGGCUAAAGGAGAUCAGAGUCUUGGCAAGAUAACUGAGUAUGACUGAAUGCGCUGCCAUCAAAGUGAACAAAUCAAAUGUGUGAUUUUGAUUCGUGCUGUAGAGUGUUAGCCUAUUACACUCACUUGCUACAGCCCCAGCUACUAAUGGGGGAGAGGGGGAGGACAUACCCAGGCACCCACCUUUCAUCUGGGGGAUGCUUCUCCCCAGGCUUGGCUCUUUGGUGACACGGCUUGUUUGGCCUCAGUAGAGUGUAGAUUGUGAUCCAGCCCUCCCCACACUAGAAACCCAUUGGCUUCUCAUUUGUUGGAUGUCUGAAUCCUGGUUUCUGGGGUCACAAGUAGAAGAGAAUAUAUGUUGUGGCAGCAGCAAAUUCCACUAAUAUUUUUAUAUGAGGAGCUAGUGCUGCCUCUUGAUCCUGGCUGAGAUAGAGUGCCUGAUCGACCAGCAGUGUAUUUUCCAAUGUAUCCUGCCAUGCUACAUCUUGAGAGGACAAAGGAAACGAGAAGCAGUCUUUGUGGUACUCCUGCAUAAGGCCUGUUCCACAGCCUGGAGAUGACUUGUUCCUCUUGCCUUGUUUUUAUGUACAAGUGUCUAAGAAGGAGCCCCCACCCGAAAGGCUCUUUUCUAACAUAAAUUCUGCUUAAGGGUCCUCCCUUUUGCAUCUUAAUUCAGUUAUACUAAGCAGGUGGGCGUGUUAUGUUCCAUUCCUGUCUGAAUUCCAAACUAAAUUCCAAACUAGCUUUGGUCAUCUUGAUAGAUGUCUUGAACAGGGAACUGGAUAGUGGGAAUGCAACCACCUUGAUUUUACUUACUGCAUCUCUCAGUGGCAUUUGACACCAUUGAUGACCAUGGUAUCUUUCUGUCUGAACUGUCAAGCCUGGGCUUAGGAGGCAUAGUAUUAUUAUGUCUCUAGUCCCUUCUUUAAAUUCAGUACCAAAACAUAGUUCAGUACCCCGCCCCGUUGCCUCUGGUUUGUGGAGUGCAACAGGAUCCAUCUUAUUCCUCCUAUUCUUCAACAUCUAUAUGAAGCUCCUAGGAGAACUCAUCCAUCGGAUUGGGUUUCAGUGUCAUCAAUAGGCAGAUGGCACACAUCUGUACCUUUCUUUUCCACCUAAGAAUCCCAGGGGAGGCUGUGGAACUCUUGAAGAGCUGUCUGAAUGCACUGCUGAGAUAAAUAUGGAAGAAAACACUGAAACUUAAUAUGGAAAAGACGGCGGUUCUAUGGGUUGAGAAGUCAGCCUGUCUGGAUAGUGAUGUGAAACUGGUUAUGGAUAUAGUUACAUGAAAAUAGGGGGGGGCAACUUGAAUAAAAGAUGGGGGGAGGUAAGCCCUGCCCUUUUUAAUCGAUCACAUGAUGCAGUACAUGCACACAAUUUGAAUGGCAAUGCCCAUCAACUUGGGGGGCCUCGCCCCCUCAAUUUUUGGGGGGUGGAGCAAAGGCCUCUCGGCCCCCAGGAGUUGGCUCCUAUUCAUGAAAAUUGCAUUGAUUACCAGUAAGUUUCUGUGCUCAAUUGAAAGUCCUGACCAGGAAUCCAGCUAUCUAAAGUAGUACCAUCAUCCAUAUAAUCCUGCCCAUAAACUAAUAUCUGGGGUGUAUGGGGUGUUUGUUAGCGGAGGGGUAGUACUCUGGUGAGGGACACAUUGUGCUCCUUCUGUGGUAGUUUAUACAGCUUUGGUCCCUAACCUGUACUCAGGUUUGACUUGUGACUGGCCUGCCAAACCAGGUGAGGAUAGCCAGUAUGUCUCAAACCCUUGAUGAGUUAGGAAUUUCUCCUGCAUGUGAAGAUCAGCUCUGGUGGAUUGAGCAUACUAGACCAAUAGUGGGUCCAACAAUCAAGAAGGCAGCAACUGUACAUGCUGUAGAGGAAAAAAUCUGUACCCACUGCCUUGUAGGACAUCUUUGGGAAAAGAAAAGGCUAAGGCAGAGCUUUCCAAACUGUGUGUCGUGACAUGUUAGCGUGCUGGCUGCAGUGUGUAGGUGUGCCACGUGAAUGCUCCCCAUGCUCCUCCCAGGGCUGGAAAGGUAUUAGAUUAACUUCUGGUUUGCUAGCAAAACUGAAUUACUGUGUCAUGAAAUGAUGCAUGUCUAAAAAGUGUGUCACCAACAUGAAAAGUUUGGAAAGCUCUGGGCUUAAGGAAUAAACCCUACAUAAAUCUUGUAUCCUCCUUCCGGCAACUCCUGCAGCCAAGCUGGUGCCAAAUGUAUUGCUCUGAUUUUAUUUGGAUGACAUCUGCAAGGCCAAGAGGGGGGUCUUUUCAUCUGGGCACCCCAGGACCUCCAUAUACACUGCCCAGUCUUGCUUCCUGGAGAGGUCACUUCAGUGCUGCAAGGGGCAGGCCUUGGUAAUAUGGUGCCCUGUGUGAGGCAAAAAAUUGACACCCCCCACAGCCCUCACACUACUUUCCCAAAAGCCGAGUAAGCAAGGUGCUGAACUUUGUGAGUGCUCUGGCAGGGUCCUAGAGCCCUCCUUCCUCCUUCCCAAAGCUGGGUGAGCAAUAACUAGGCUUUGGGAAGGAGGCAGGAAAGUGUUCUCUUGGCUCAGCACUCUGUGUGGGGAAACUAGUUGUGCUGUCCAAAAUCCACCUCUGACGCUGCUAACGCAGAAAAACAACAACAUUGGAGGCAGCAGUUAUGAGUUACCGGUCCCUGUAGCCACAGCGAUUUGGCUUCGCCUUCAGAGGCACUCUCCGUUGUUUCUCAAGACAGAUGGAUGACAACCAAACUAAUAUCUGUUUCAGGGGUCUUUCUUGAGAGCUUGCCAUUAAGUUGACAUAUACAAGAGGAAGGGCUUCUCACUGGCUGUCCCCCAAAUUUAGAACUUCUAACUGAUAUACAUCUUGCUCCUUCACUACAGGCCUUUGGCAGGCCUGAAAUUCUCUUCACUGCUGCAUUUACCUAAGACCCAAAGUAGUUGUGUAUUUCAGAACAGCAAGUUCAGAAUAAUUUGUACCCUUCUCUAACGUGACCACUAUAUCUCCACCCAUGUCUCCUUCUUUAUAUGUAUCUCAUUUUGUAAAGUGUGGCUGUAAAAAUUGGCUUUAAAAUAUUUUAAAUAAAUAAAAUGCUGCAACCUGGUGCCCAGUUCAACAUGAUACUGAUCUGACAGGCAGCAUGAAACCCUGCCUGCGGGCAUUUGUAAAGCUAGAAGAGGAAGGGAUCUAUUAUUAAUGGCAGAAAGUGAGGUGAAAUCAGGGCAGGGAAAUAACAUGAGCCAUGAUUAGUGCACAUUAUUGAAGAGGCCCAGGAGUUGUUACCUUUUGGAUGCACAGAAGCCACAGGGAAAGUGUCAGGCUGCAAGAUCCACCACAACUCUUUCCUAUUUGCUGAUUAAUAACACUCAUUAAUUAGAAGAGCACAUAAUGGGAUUGCUAAUUGCAACUGAUGGAAGUCCCAUCUUUGCUAGAAACAUUCUGGAUUUGGCGCAUCAUAUAAUCUCCUUGUCUUUGAUUUUAUCUGUAGCAAAAGAAGAAUGCAGAGAAAGGGAGGCAGAGGCGGGGAGUCAGAGGAAAACCCCAAGGAUAAAUGUAAUGGAUGGCAAAGUCUCUUUGAACUUAUGUAUACAAACCAGCCCAGCUACUAUCCUCAACAUCCUCCUGAAGGCCAGAAAGCCAUAAAAAUUUCCAGACUCUGAGCAAUCAUGAGAGGCAUCAAGUGCAGGACAAACUCUUAUUGUAAUGCUUUGGGAAGAAAGAGAGAAAAAUCCUUAUCCUGAGCACACAGCCCCAAUUGUAAAGCAGGC